This 258-nucleotide ribosomal RNA is filed under the name uncultured bacterium. Its description in RNAcentral is "partial 16S ribosomal RNA". It matches the Rfam family "Bacterial small subunit ribosomal RNA", at positions 524 to 776 of the family's 1533-position model. The record is from RNAcentral.
GACGAACCGUGCGAACGUUAUUCGGAAUCACUGGGCUUAAAGCGCGUGUAGGCGGGACGGCACGUCGGUCGCUGAAAGCCCCCCGGCUCAACCGGGGAAGUGGCGCCGAUACGACCGCCCUGGAGGGACGUAGGGGGACCUGGAACUUCCGGUGGAGCGGUGAAAUGCGUUGAGAUCGGAAGGAACGCCCGUGGCGAAAGCGAGGUCCUGGACGUUUACUGAACGGCUGAGACGCGAAAAGCCAGGGGAGCGAACGGG